ACGGGGGGAGCAAGCGUUGUUCGGAUUUACUGGGCGUAAAGGGCGCGUAGGCGGUCAGCACAAGUCAGUUGUGAAAUCUCCGGGCUUAACUCGGAAAGGUCAACUGAUACUGUGCGACUAGAGUGCAGAAGGGGCAACUGGAAUUCUUGGUGUAGCGGUGAAAUGCGUAGAUAUCUGGAGGAACACCGGUGGCGAAGGCGGCGUUCUGGACUGUAACUGACACUGAAAAACGAAAGCCAGGGGAACAAACGGGA
RNAcentral lists this ribosomal RNA (254 nucleotides) under uncultured prokaryote. RNAcentral's name for it is "partial 16S ribosomal RNA". It matches the Rfam family "Bacterial small subunit ribosomal RNA", at positions 525 to 777 of the family's 1533-position model. The record is from RNAcentral.